This 293-nucleotide ribosomal RNA is filed under the name uncultured bacterium. Its description in RNAcentral is "partial 16S ribosomal RNA". It matches the Rfam family "Archaeal small subunit ribosomal RNA", at positions 455 to 747 of the family's 1478-position model. The record is from RNAcentral.
GUGCCAGCAGCCGCGGUAAUACCGGCAGCCCGAGUGAUGGCCGAUCUUAUUGGGCCUAAAGCGUCCGUAGCUGGCUGCGCAAGUCCGUCGGGAAAUCCACUCGCCCAACGAGUGGGCGUCCGGCGGAAACUGCACAGCUUGGGACCGGAAGGCUCGAAGGGUACGUUCGGGGUAGGAGUGAAAUCCCAUAAUCCCGCACGGACCACCGAUGGCGAAAGCACUUCGAGAAAACGGAUCCGACGGUGAGGAACGAAAGCCAGGGGAGCAAAGCGGAUUAGAAACCCUAGUAGUCC